GAAACUCAUCAGGGGCAAGAAGAUUUUAGGAUUGACAGAUUGAGAGUUCUUUCUUGAUUGGUCUAGUGGUGGUGCAUGGCCGUUUUUGGUUGGUGGAUCGAUCCGUCUGGUUAAUUCCGUUAACGAACGAGACCUCGGCACUCCGAAUAGCGCGGCGGACGUCGCGGCCUCCGGGCCGUCUUCCGCACGAGCUUCUUAGAGGGACCGUCCCCCGCCGGGGAAGGAGGUGCGAGGCAACGACAGGUCUGUGAUGCCCUUAGAUGUUCUGGGCCGCACGCGCAUUACACUGACGCGUCCAACGGGUGACUCCCGACCCGAAGGGGCCGGGGAAUCCGCAAGGCGCGUCGUGAUGGGGAUUGAACGUUGCAAUUGUUGUUCACGAACGAGGAAUUCCUAGUAGGCGCGGGUCAUCAACCCGCGCCGAUUACGUCCCUG
This 435-nucleotide ribosomal RNA is filed under the name uncultured eukaryote. Its description in RNAcentral is "bacterial SSU rRNA". It matches the Rfam family "Eukaryotic small subunit ribosomal RNA", at positions 1210 to 1655 of the family's 1831-position model. The record is from RNAcentral.